This 82-nucleotide transfer RNA is filed under the name Danionella translucida. It matches the Rfam family "tRNA". Rfam says of the family: Transfer RNA (tRNA) molecules are approximately 80 nucleotides in length. Their secondary structure includes four short double-helical elements and three loops (D, anti-codon, and T loops). Further hydrogen bonds mediate the characteristic L-shaped molecular structure. tRNAs have two regions of fundamental functional importance: the anti-codon, which is responsible for specific mRNA codon recognition, and the 3' end, to which the tRNAs corresponding amino acid is attached (by aminoacyl-tRNA synthetases). tRNAs cope with the degeneracy of the genetic code in two manners: having more than one tRNA (with a specific anti-codon) for a particular amino acid; and 'wobble' base-pairing, i.e. permitting non-standard base-pairing at the 3rd anti-codon position. RNAcentral also lists the same sequence under 1 other name. Lineage: Eukaryota; Metazoa; Chordata; Actinopteri; Cypriniformes; Danionidae. The record is from Rfam by way of RNAcentral.
GUUGUCGUGGCCGAGUGGUUAAGGCGAUGGACUAGAAAUCCAUUAGGGUUACCCCAUGCAGGUUCAAAUCCUGCCGAUAACG